UACGUAGGGUCCGAGCGUUGUCCGGAGUUACUGGGCGUAAAGCGCGCGCAGGCGGCGGGAUAAGCAUGGCGUGAAAGCCCCAGGCUUAACCUGGGGGGGUCGUCGUGGACUGUACCGCUUGAGGGCGGUAGGGGCUGGUGGAAUGCCUGGUGUAGUGGUGAAAUGCGUAGAGAUCAGGCGGAACACCUAUAGCGAAGGCAGCUUACUAGGCUAUAACUGACGCUGAGGCACGAAAGUGUGGGGAUCAAACAGG
This 253-nucleotide ribosomal RNA is filed under the name uncultured bacterium. RNAcentral's name for it is "partial 16S ribosomal RNA". It matches the Rfam family "Bacterial small subunit ribosomal RNA", at positions 524 to 776 of the family's 1533-position model. The record is from RNAcentral.